UGGAUAAUUCUUAUAGUUGACAUUUCUCUGGGCCAAUCAGAACCUUAGCACUUGCUUUGCAUGAUUCAAAGUUCAAAAAAAAUUAUUUUUUCUUAUACUGAUUCCUCAUGUAGGCCUUCAUUUCAGCCUCUCUCUGAACAAGCUGUAGAUGCUCCUGUCACUUUAAGACCCCCCCUCUCAAAGCCCACUGUCUUCUGAUUGGCCAAGAACUGAAGCAUGUAUUACGUAGAACAGAGCCGUUGGUAGAAAAAGCAGUUCAAAACAGAGCGUUCAGAACAGGAGGAAACCUGAGGUUAUUGCUCACAGUGAUUUCUUAUAAAUGCUUUAACCUAAUCUUUUAAAGGUUUGGCCAUGUUUAACAUGAACAUCCAACAUUAUAACAUUGUAGAUAAGUCAUAAAAUGUGGAAAUGCAUAAUAGGUCUCCUUUAACAAAGUGUGUCCUUUUUGAAAGGUAGGAGGCAAACCACUGAUAAACAGUUCCCCCAGUUUUAAUACUUGGCAGACGGUCCCAAGAGGAGGGAAUAUGAUACAGCGUCGAAGCCUGCUGUGAGGUCCAGGAGGACGAGAAUGGAGAGUAUACCAGAAUCUGCUGCUCUGAGGUGAUCUUACCCAGGGCAGUUUCUGUGCUAUGGAAUUUUUCAAGGAGAUUAUUUUUUAUUGAGGUAGGUCUGUAGUUGAGAUGCAACAACCCUAAGUAAGUUGGAAAUUGGCUUGUUCUUGUGGUCAUUGCAGUCUAAACCAGGUUUUUUCAGUGUUGGCCUGAUUAUAGCAAUUCUCAGAAAGGUGGAAGCAGACCAGUGGACAGUUGAUGAUGUUAUUAGAUAAAUUAUAGAAGGCAAGCACGCUUUAACUCAGGUUGUGGGGACUGGAUCCAGGUGACAUGUGGAGUUAUUGGACUUAUAAUAAUAUAAUUUCAGAAAUAUGACUUUCAGUCUGAAGGCUGACAUCACAAAAGAGGGUGGAUGCAGGCAAUGACAAACUGCUUUUUGGAUGUAGGUUGGUCUGCAUGAUGUUCACAGAGCCAAGAUGGUUAUGAAUUGCAGCAAUUUGAGUUGAAGUAUUGAGGUUUAUGUUGUAGUGGCAGCCCGGCUGAAGGUGAGUGUCCUGGUCUGCCUGUCUGUGUCCUCCUCUCCCCCUGUGUGUGCUCUCCCUCUCUCUCUGACAAUCCACACCUGCACCUCGUCAGCCUCCUCCUCUGCCUGCCACACCUGCCAGAAAUCAACUCCAUCUCAACCCUUAUUCUCCACACAAUCUCUGCUUGAUCGUCGUUGCUCCUAACACGGUGCCACUUCUUCACUCGAGCUCUUGUGUAACCUGCAUCAUCCUUGUUUCCUUUUUCUUGGCUUUCCCUGUGUCUAACCGUCUGUCUGUCUUCCCUCCAGGUUCGCUCAUCUCCGUCCUCCGUCUUGUCAGCUGGACUCGCCAACCUGCCCUCUCCUCUUGGAUCCAUAGACAGUAUAUUACUGGACGAAGCCACCCCGCUGAUUUGAAUGGAGAGCAUUGAACGAAUAAAAUACUACUACAGGGCUGCUUCCUGUUGGCACCAGAGUCUACUGCGCGUGAUCGCACAGCAUAAGACACAGUUAAAUGACGGAGAGCAAUGACAGAAACACCUUAGUUCUGGUAGCUGCUCCCCCCAAAAAUAUUUAGGCUGUUUGACUUGGAUUGUGACUUUGACAUCGUCAACGACUUCGAGUACUUCCAGUUAUGUUCUGAUUCACUGAGCUGUUAAGAGUUAUUGCUUUUGGUACAGUUAAUUUAAGCUAAUAUAAGAGCAGUACAAUAUAUUGGCUAAAUGCAGUUUAGAAGUCAUGUUAUAAAGUGAUAACAUAAUAAAUUGUCAGUAACGUUACAGAUCAGAGAGAAGGGGCUGAGAGAGAGGAGGGGUCCCGCCAGUAGGCCAGAUCCGGGGCCACAGACAGGGGACGCCCUCAAAGGGCGCCGUCUCUAUCUUACCAGGUCGACAUGCAGGCGGAUGAACCACCGCUGCAGCCUCCUCAUGUGGAGAAGGCCCACGAGCCUCAUGACCGACAGAGCAGCUCCAUCAGAGCAUCCACCCUCUCCUGAGAGAGUCGCGCUCUCCAGAGAGAGGAGUCCUGUACGACGCCAAGGUAGAUUUAUUCUUCCUGGAAGCCAGCGGGGCCACAACAGAAAACGUGCCACAUGGGACAUCCUUGCCAACAUGUUCCAUGAUGUUGGGAAGAGGAUUGGAAAGGGAUGACUGACAAAACUCUCUAUGGCAAUGGAGACGUUGCUCCUAUAUGCUGUGAGGGUCAACUCUCCCGUGCUGCCACAGAUGAUAUUAUCUUAAAGCAGAAAAUAUGGUGUUUCAACCUGGCAGCAGAGAGGGGGAGAAGCUCAAGGAGAUGUGCCACUAUCAGCAUCCUUAUGGAAGAUCCGCCCACUGUUAAUUCCUUAAGAAAAAGUAUUUAGGUAUGUAGGGGUUCUGCAUGUCUUGAAACAUGUUAAAGUUAGUCUUUUUCAUUAAAUAAAAAAUGCAUUUGAUAAUUUU
Long non-coding RNA from Micropterus dolomieu (smallmouth bass), 2513 nucleotides. RefSeq lists it as uncharacterized. The transcript is spliced from 4 exons. The record is from RefSeq and is a predicted model, not a curated record. Lineage: Eukaryota; Metazoa; Chordata; Actinopteri; Centrarchiformes; Centrarchidae.